AUUGAACGCUGGCGGCAUGCCUUACACAUGCAAGUCGAACGGCAGCGCGGACUUCGGUCUGGCGGCGAGUGGCGAACGGGUGAGUAAUACAUCGGAACGUACCCUGUUGUGGGGGAUAACUAGUCGAAAGAUUAGCUAAUACCGCAUACGACCUGAGGGUGAAAGUGGGGGACCGCAAGGCCUCAUGCAGCAGGAGCGGCCGAUGUCUGAUUAGCUAGUUGGUGGGGUAAAGGCCCACCAAGGCGACGAUCAGUAGCUGGUCUGAGAGGACGAUCAGCCACACUGGGACUGAGACACGGCCCAGACUCCUACGGGAGGCAGCAGUGGGGAAUUUUGGACAAUGGGGGCAACCCUGAUCCAGCAAUGCCGCGUGUGUGAAGAAGGCCUUCGGGUUGUAAAGCACUUUUGUCCGGAAAGAAACCGCGCUGGUUAAUACCUGGCGUGGAUGACGGUACCGGAAGAAUAAGCACCGGCUAACUACGUGCCAGCCGCCGCCGUAA
Molecule: ribosomal RNA, 500 nt
Filed under: uncultured bacterium
Lineage: Bacteria
Description: partial 16S ribosomal RNA
Rfam family: Bacterial small subunit ribosomal RNA
Source: RNAcentral